Molecule: non-coding RNA, 131 nt
Organism: Labrus bergylta (ballan wrasse)
Lineage: Eukaryota; Metazoa; Chordata; Actinopteri; Labriformes; Labridae
Source: Ensembl
AUGGAGGUAAAGAAAGUGAAGCAAAUGAAGACCAUGUUGCCUUCACUGAUACUCACCUCCAAAAUUAAGUAGCAGAGAGAACAUCCUGGCCUGCAGGGAAAAGCCUUGGAUUGCUGCAUCUGCUUACAAAG